UACAAGAAAGCUGACUACGGAAAAGAUUAAUCAUCUCGUUUAUUAUACAAUUAAAUUGUUAGGUGGCCCAUGUCAUCUACAAUAACAGUAAGGAAGUUUUGGGCUGUCAUUUUGUAUUUUAUAUCCGUGAACGGAAAUGAGGGACACGUCAGUAACAUUUGCCGAAGAUGAACUGCAAUUUGGAAACAGGAUGCUUGUUUUCACACCUUCCAAAGCGGAAACAUCGUUUUCCCAGCUAUAAGAUAUCGAUCAACAGAGCCAUGCAUGUUGUAAGAGUCUUAAUGUAUUGUCUUAAAUAAAAA
This is a long non-coding RNA of Saccostrea cuccullata (small rock oyster), 302 nucleotides long. RefSeq lists it as uncharacterized. Lineage: Eukaryota; Metazoa; Mollusca; Bivalvia; Ostreida; Ostreidae. The record is from RefSeq and is a predicted model, not a curated record. The transcript is spliced from 3 exons.